Molecule: long non-coding RNA, 1600 nt
Organism: Capsicum annuum
Lineage: Eukaryota; Viridiplantae; Streptophyta; Magnoliopsida; Solanales; Solanaceae
Exons: 6
Source: RefSeq, a predicted model, not a curated record
GUGAUUUUAUCUGCUUGUUGGAUUGUUUAGUUCUUUCAGAAUUGGCGAAUUCCAAUCUCUCAACUUCCUUGGCUAGUCUAGAAAUCAACUUAAGGUCUAUUCAAACUUCUCUUUCUGUUAUGCCAACUUGGAGGCUUGAAUUUGUCAUAUAAUUGCGUCUCUAGCAGAAUCCACCCGCAGGAGGAUGAGAUCAUCGCGCAUUGCUCAUUGUUCAUGCUGUUAUUACAUGCAAGUUGUUGUUAAUCCUUGUUAGGGUGUGUAAUUGAUUUAGAUGCAUUUUUGGUUCUUCUGCUUACUCAACUAUUUUCUCUUUCUUUACCUAACCUAUUUAAUCUGCUAAUUAGAAUGUUGCUGCAUCUCUCUGUGUUACCAUGACUGCUCACCUGCUCUUCACUGCUCAGUUAUUUCCAUGGCAAAUUAUAGGAUGGAUCUGUAUGUUAAGCGUCUACUGACAGAGAUAUAAGUGUUAACACAGAGCUUUUUAUUUGGUUGUAUAUUCCUUAUGCAGCUAUGCUUCAAAAUUGCUUUCACCAUAAAAGUCGUGACUUUCCACCUUGAAAUUCAAAAUUGAUGGCUGUAGAUUCCAAUUGAAAAUUCAAAAUUCAAACUUGCGAAUGAUCCUCAUAAGUUUGUGGAAAAGGGAAAUGCUGAUACAAUUGCUAUUGAAAAAGUAGCAUCUGGGAAUGCUUCGUUUCUGCAUUUGCAGCGGUCAGAUGAUUGUUAUGACAGCAAAAUACGAGAGAUUGCUGUUAUUGUGGAAGAUGUAACUGAUAGUGUACCUCCUGAUACACCCUUAUCUUCUCCAGUAUCCACAUGUGCAAGAUGAACCUAGUGAUGGUCUUCCAUCUGCUGAAGAAGAAACCGACGUCGAGAAUGUUAUUGAAGAAUCUGAUUAUGAGAAUGUCAAAAACGGUACUAAUGGAAAGGAAGAAUCUGUCUCUGAUUCUGCAAUUAUCGAAAAGGAGGAAGGGAUUUAUGGCUUGCAGAUCAUUAAAAACAGUGAUCUUGAAGAGCUACAAGAAUUGGGAUCUGGAACAUAUGGAACAGUAUAUUAUGGAAAGUGGAGGGGAACAGAUAUUGCUAUCAAGAGAAUAAAACAAAGUUGUUUUGCUGGGAGUUCAUCUGAGCAAGAACGACUGGUUGGCGUUACACAGAUUCAUAAUGUGAAAACUUGCUAGUCAACUUGGGAGAUCCACAACGUCCCGUGUGCAAGUUUUUCAGGUUGGUGAUUUUGGAUUAUCACGGAUUAAGAGAAAUACCCUUGUUUCCGGUGGUGUUAGAGGAACACUUCCAUGGAUGGCACCAGAGCUAUUGAAUGGAAACAGUAGUCGGGUGUCGGAAAAGUGUGGGAGAUCUUGACAGGAGAGAAGCCUUAUGCAAACCUGCAUUGCGGUGCUAUUAUUGCCAAGUGAUGCGGCUAGUGGACUCAUUUCGCUUAUGGAUGCAAGGAGACCACGUGAUGAUAGUGAUCCUAAUGAUAGUCGUUGAUUUCAUUGCAAAUUGUCUUGGAUAUUCAAUUAUGAUGAUGUAAUUGUGUGGUUGGAGUGAAUCUUAGAAUAUUGAAGGUUUUGUGUUUAAAUUUGAUUUUGGAGUUUGUUUA